Molecule: ribosomal RNA, 873 nt
Filed under: uncultured archaeon
Lineage: Archaea
Description: bacterial SSU rRNA
Rfam family: Archaeal small subunit ribosomal RNA
Source: RNAcentral
UGGCUCAGUAACACGUGGAGAAUCUAACCUUUGGUGGAGGAUAAUCUCGGGAAACUGAGAAUAAUACUCCAUAAACAUAGGGUGCUGGAAUGCUUCUAUGUUGAAAGGCAACGCCAAAGGAUGACUCUGCGACCUAUCAGGCUGUAGUGAGUGUAAUGGACUCACUAACCUGCAACGGGUACGGGUGUUGGAAGACAUUGCCCAGAGAUGGACUCUGAGACAUGAGUCCAGGUUCUACGGAACGCAGCAGGCGCGAAAACUCCGCAAUGUACGAAAGUACGACGGGGGAAUUCUGAGUGCUUACGCCUUGCGUAGGCUGUUUUCUUGUCUAAAAAACAAGGAGAGUAAGGGCUGGGUAAGACGGGUGCCAUCUCGUGCAAUUCUGCACUUAUUGUGUUCGUUGCACGAAGCACAAGCCGCCGCGGUAAUACCCGCGGCCCGAGUGGUGCUCAUUAUUAUUGAGCCUAAAACGUCCGUAGCCGGUUUAAUAAAUUCUUGGGUAAAUCAUAUCGCUUAACGAUAUGAAUUCUGAGAACACUGCUAAACUCGGGAAUGGGAGAGGCCAGAGGUACUUUCAGGGUAGGGGUAAAAUCCCGUAAUCCUGAGAGGACCACCGGUGGCGAAGGCGUCUGGCUAGAACAUAUUCGACGGUAAGGGACGAAGCCCUGGGGCGCAAACGGGAUUAGAUACCCCGGUAGUCCAGGGUGUAAACGCUGUAGAUUUGGUGUUGGAAAUCCUACGGGGAUUCCCAGUGCCGGAGAGGAGUUGUUAAAUCUACUGCUUGGGGAGUACGGUCGCAAGACUGAAACUUAAAGGAAUUGGCGGGGGAGCACCGCAACGGGUGGAGCGUGCGGUUUAAUUGGAUUCAACGCC